UACGAAGGGGGCUAGCGUUGCUCGGAAUUACUGGGCGUAAAGGGCGCGUAGGCGGCACUGUUAGUCAGGCGUGAAAGUCCUGGGCUCAACCUGGGAACUGCGCUUGAUACGGCAGAGCUAGAGGAUGGAAGAGGCUCGCGGAAUUCCCAGUGUAGAGGUGAAAUUCGUAGAUAUUGGGAAGAACACCAGUGGCGAAGGCGACUACCUGGCCUGUUCUUGACGCUGAGGCGCGAAAGCUAGGGGAGCAAACGGG
This 253-nucleotide ribosomal RNA is filed under the name uncultured bacterium. RNAcentral's name for it is "partial 16S ribosomal RNA". It matches the Rfam family "Bacterial small subunit ribosomal RNA", at positions 524 to 776 of the family's 1533-position model. The record is from RNAcentral.